Small nucleolar RNA from Jaculus jaculus (lesser Egyptian jerboa), 130 nucleotides. NCBI's taxonomy places the organism in Eukaryota, Metazoa, Chordata, Mammalia, Rodentia, Dipodidae. The record is from Ensembl.
AAUUCAUUAAAAAAACCUACUUGAUUCCCCAUCCUUGGUUACGCUGUAGUGCAAAAGAAUUCCUGGCUCUUCCUGUUGCACAGCUGACUUCUACCAUUUUGCUGUUGCUUUAAGGAGUUAAGGAACAUGA